AGGACGAACGCUGGCGGCGCGCUUAACACAUGCAAGUCGAACGUGAAGCUGGAGCUUGCUCCGGUGGAAAGUGGCGAACGGGUGCGUAACACGUGAGCAACCUGCCCCGAAGACUGGGAUAACACCGGGAAACCGGUGCUAAUACCGGAUACCUUCUUCCGAUCGCAUGGUUGGAUGAAGAAAUGGAUUCCGCUUCGGGAUGGGCUCGCGGCCUAUCAGCUUGUUGGUGAGGUAAUGGCCCACCAAGGCGACGACGGGUAGCUGGUCUGAGAGGACGACCAGCCACACUGGGACUGAGACACGGCCCAGACUCCUACGGGAGGCAGCAGUGGGGAAUCUUGCUCAAUGGGCGAAAGCCUGAAGCAGCGACGCCGCGUGCGGGAUGAAGGCCCUCGGGUUGUAAACCGCUUUCAGCAGGGACGAAUUGACGGUACCUGCAGAAGAAGGCCCGGCCAACUACGUGCCAGCAGCCGC
Molecule: ribosomal RNA, 474 nt
Filed under: uncultured bacterium
Lineage: Bacteria
Description: SSU rRNA
Rfam family: Bacterial small subunit ribosomal RNA
Source: RNAcentral